Molecule: ribosomal RNA, 253 nt
Filed under: uncultured bacterium
Lineage: Bacteria
Description: partial 16S ribosomal RNA
Rfam family: Bacterial small subunit ribosomal RNA
Source: RNAcentral
UACGAAGGGGGCUAGCGUUGCUCGGAAUCACUGGGCGUAAAGCGCACGUAGGCGGACUCUUAAGUCGGUGGUGAAAUCCUGGAGCUCAACUCCAGAACUGCCUUCGAUACUGAGAGUCUUGAGUUCGGGAGAGGUGAGUGGAACUGCGAGUGUAGAGGUGAAAUUCGUAGAUAUUCGCAAGAACACCAGUGGCGAAGGCGGCUCACUGGCCCGAUACUGACGCUGAGGCACGAAAGCGUGGGGAGCAAACAGG